RNAcentral lists this ribosomal RNA (415 nucleotides) under uncultured bacterium. RNAcentral's name for it is "bacterial SSU rRNA". It matches the Rfam family "Bacterial small subunit ribosomal RNA", at positions 402 to 809 of the family's 1533-position model. The record is from RNAcentral.
UGAGUGAAGAAGGCCUUCGGGUUGUAAAGCUCUUUUGUCAGGGAAGAAACGGCUCAGGCUAAUAUCCUGGGCUAAUGACGGUACCUGAAGAAUAAGCACCGGCUAACUACGUGCCAGCAGCCGCGGUAAUACGUAGGGUGCAAGCGUUAAUCGGAAUUACUGGGCGUAAAGCGUGCGCAGGCGGUUUUGUAAGUCUGUCGUGAAAGCCCCGGGCUUAACCUGGGAAUUGCGAUGGAGACUGCAAGGCUUGAAUCUGGCAGAGGGGGGUAGAAUUCCACGUGUAGCAGUGAAAUGCGUAGAGAUGUGGAGGAACACCGAUGGCGAAGGCAGCCCCCUGGGUCAAGAUUGACGCUCAUGCACGAAAGCGUGGGGAGCAAACAGGAUUAGAUACCCUGGUAGUCCACGCCCUAAACGA